UACAGAGGGUGCAAGCGUUGUUCGGAAUUACUGGGCGUAAAGCGUGCGCAGGCGGUUUUGUAAGCCCGGUGUGAAAUCCCCGGGCUCAACCUGGGAAUGGCAUUUGGGACUGCAAGGCUGGAGUGCGGCAGAGGAGACUGGAAUUCCUGGUGUAGCAGUGAAAUGCGUAGAUAUCAGGAGGAACACCGAUGGCGAAGGCAGGUCUCUGGGCUGACACUGACGCUCAUGCACGAAAGCGUGGGGAGCAAACAGG
Molecule: ribosomal RNA, 253 nt
Filed under: uncultured bacterium
Lineage: Bacteria
Description: partial 16S ribosomal RNA
Rfam family: Bacterial small subunit ribosomal RNA
Source: RNAcentral